UGGCUCAGAGUGAACGCUGGCGGCAGGCCUAAUACAUGCAAGUCGAACGGCAGCACAGCAGAGCUUGCUCUGUGGGUGGCGAGUGGCGGACGGGUGAGGAAUACAUGGGAAUCUGCCCAGUCGUGGGGAUAACGUAGGGAAACUUACGCUAAUACCGCAUGCGCCCUUCGGGGGAAAGCCGGGGACCUUCGGGCCUGGCGCGAUUGGAUGAGCCCAUGUCGGAUUAGCUAGUUGGCGGGGUAAUGGCCCACCAAGGCGACGAUCCGUAGCUGGUCUGAGAGGAUGAUCAGCCACACUGGAACUGAGACACGGUCCAGACUCCUACGGGAGGCAGCAGUAGGGAAUAUUGGACAAUGGGCGCAAGCCUGAUCCAGCCAUGCCGCGUGAGUGAAGAAGGCCCUCGGGUUGUAAAGCUCUUUUGUCCGGAAAGAAAAGCGCCGGGUUAAUACCCUGGUGUCCUGACGGUACCGGAAGAAUAAGCACCGGCUAACUUCGUG
This 497-nucleotide ribosomal RNA is filed under the name uncultured bacterium. Its description in RNAcentral is "bacterial SSU rRNA". It matches the Rfam family "Bacterial small subunit ribosomal RNA", at positions 20 to 507 of the family's 1533-position model. The record is from RNAcentral.